GACAGAGGUGCCAAGCGUUAGGCGGAAUCACUGGGCUUAAAGCGUGUGUAGGCGGAUGCCUAAGUACCUUGUGAAAUCCCACGGCUCAACCGUGGAACUGCUUGGUAUACUGGGUGUCUUGAGCCAUCUAGGGGCUACCGGAACAAAUGGUGGAGCGGUGAAAUGCGUAGAUAUCAGUUGGAACGCCAAUGGUGAAAACAGGUAGCUGGGGAUGUGCUGACGCUGAGACACGAAAGCCAGGGGAGCAAACGGG
This 253-nucleotide ribosomal RNA is filed under the name uncultured bacterium. RNAcentral's name for it is "partial 16S ribosomal RNA". It matches the Rfam family "Bacterial small subunit ribosomal RNA", at positions 524 to 776 of the family's 1533-position model. The record is from RNAcentral.